This 468-nucleotide ribosomal RNA is filed under the name uncultured bacterium. RNAcentral's name for it is "partial 16S ribosomal RNA". It matches the Rfam family "Bacterial small subunit ribosomal RNA", at positions 28 to 507 of the family's 1533-position model. The record is from RNAcentral.
GACGAACGCUGGCGGCGUGCUUAACACAUGCAAGUCGAACGGAAAGGCCCUGCUUUUGUGGGGUGCUCGAUUGGCGAACGGGUGAGUAACACGUGAGUAACCUGCCCUUGACUUUGGGAUAACUUCAGGAAACUGGGGCUAAUACCGGAUAGGAGCUCCUGCUGCAUGGUGGGGGUUGGAAAGUUUCGGCGGUUGGGGAUGGACUCGCGGCUUACCAGCUUGUUGGUGGGGUAGUGGCUUACCAAGGCUUCGACGGGUAGCCGGCCUGAGAGGGUGACCGGCCACAUUGGGACUGAGAUACGGCCCAGACUCCUACGGGAGGCAGCAGUGGGGAAUAUUGCACAAUGGGCGGAAGCCUGAUGCAGCAACGCCGCGUGCGGGAUGACCGCCUUCGGGUUGUAAACCGCUUUCGCCUGUGACGAAGCGUGAGUGACGGUAAUGGGUAAAGAAGCACCGGCUAACUACGUG